RNAcentral lists this ribosomal RNA (253 nucleotides) under uncultured prokaryote. Its description in RNAcentral is "partial 16S ribosomal RNA". It matches the Rfam family "Bacterial small subunit ribosomal RNA", at positions 524 to 776 of the family's 1533-position model. The record is from RNAcentral.
UACGUAGGUGGCAAGCGUUGUCCGGAAUUAUUGGGCGUAAAGGGUAGGUAGGUGGUUGCGUAUGUCUGGGGUGAAAUCCCUGAGCUUAACUCAGGAAGUGCCUUGGAAACGGCGUAACUAGAGUGCUAGAGAGGUUCGUGGAAUUCCACGUGUAGCGGUGAAAUGUGUAGAUAUGUGGAAGAACACCUGUGGCGAAAGCGGUUUUCUAGCUUAUUCCUGACGCUGAGGCGCGAAAGCAAGGGGAGCAAACAGG